Molecule: ribosomal RNA, 471 nt
Filed under: uncultured bacterium
Lineage: Bacteria
Description: bacterial SSU rRNA
Rfam family: Bacterial small subunit ribosomal RNA
Source: RNAcentral
AUCAACGCUGGCGGCGUGCCUCAGACAUGCAAGUCGUACGAUUAAAGCUCUCUUCGGAGAGUGUAUAGAGUGGCGCACGGGUGAGUAACACGUAAGUAAUCUACCUUCGAGUGGGGAAUAACAGUCGGAAACGACUGCUAAUACCGCAUAAUGCAGCGGCACCUAAUGGUGACAGUUGUUAAAGCAUUUAUGUGCUUGAAGAGGAGCUUGCGGCAGAUUAGCUAGUUGGUAAGGUAAUGGCUUACCAAGGCAACGAUCUGUAGCCGACCUGAGAGGGUGGUCGGUCACACUGACACUGAAUAACGGGUCAGACUCCUACGGGAGGCAGCAGUCGGGAAUUUUGGGCAAUGGGCGAAAGCCUGACCCAGCAACGCCGCGUGAAGGAUGAAGUAUUUCGGUAUGUAAACUUCGUAAGAAUGGGAAGAAUAAAUGACGGUACCAUUUGUAAGGUCCGGCUAACUACGUGCCAGC